Molecule: long non-coding RNA, 1062 nt
Organism: Molossus molossus (Pallas's mastiff bat)
Lineage: Eukaryota; Metazoa; Chordata; Mammalia; Chiroptera; Molossidae
Exons: 2
Source: RefSeq, a predicted model, not a curated record
GGGGGGUGGAGGCUCAGUCUGGGGAUGGCUUCCCAGUUGGCUGCCCUCAACCACGGCCGGGUUCCAGGCUUUGUGGGCCCUAAGCGGGCCCUUGGCUAGAGUAUUGGGACAGGGCGCUGGGAACCUACACCUCCGGAAGCGCGCUGGGAGCCAAUCUCUCGGGGUGCCUGGAAACCCAAGGUGGGCAGAAGAGGAUGGAACCAACACUGCCUCUAGUUUGCAACGUCUAUUAUGAGUGCAGGGAGCCGGCCCCACCCUCCAGGUGUGCAGAAUCUCCCGACCCCACGUCCAGAGCAGAUGCCGACCUCCGAGUCAGGAGUGCACUGGUUCCAUUGGGGCCCUUGGAAAUGUAGACUCCACGCCCCAGUUGCUGAUCUUUAGCCGAGCACUGCAGUUUAACUGGUGCUCCGAGCGAGACUGACUUUGAACCAAGAGCCUGCCUCUGGCAGAGGGCAUCUCCAGAAAUGGGAGUCCAUCUCCAUCCUCAGCUCGGAUUUGCAGAACAUAGGUGAGAGGCCCUUCGCCUGCAGCUGGCCGGACUGCAGCAAGAAGUUCGCGCGCUCCGACGAGCUGGCGCGCCACUACCGCACGCACACGGGCGAGAAGAAGUUCAGCUGCCCCAUCUGCGGCAAGCGCUUCAUGCGCAGCGACCACCUGACCAAGCACGCGCGCCGCCACGCCAACUUCCACCCGGGCAUGCUGCAGCGGCGCGCGGGCGGCUCCCGCACCGGCUCGCUCAGCGACUACAGCCGCUCCGACGCCAGCAGCCCCACCAUCAGCCCGGCCAGCUCGCCCUGAGCCCGGCCGGCCGCAGCAGCACAGCCCCACCCCGCCCCUGUCUCGCCGUGGGUUCCCCACUACAGCCAUGAGCAUGCAGGUGCUCACGUCCUCUGUGACCCCGUCUUUUCCUUUUGUCAUCAGAAAAGAGACAGAACUUGAUGGAGUCCACCACAACCCCCCCCCCUCCAAUUUCUUCACCUCAGGUGUCUAACUCAAUUUGUAAAAAAAAAAAAAACCACAAAAAAAACCAACAAAAAAAUGUUUUUCAAAAAACACCACCCA